AGUAAUUAUUAUUUGUAAGUUGAAUUGUCUAGAAUCAUAAGAUAUGGCAUACAAGAGUAUAAACACAGAGUGGUACCAGAGACACUGAACUAAACAGAAACCACAAUGAUCAGUCAUUGGUCACCACAGACAUAAAAUCUUGUUAAACCAGUUUAGACUUACAAAGACUACAGAGAAACAAGCAAGUGGAAUUAUGAAAAUAACUAAGAACAAGUUAAGGGAAUACUUGUAAAGUCAUUGAGAAAAUGGAUAAACAUAAAUACAAAUGGAACCCCAAAAGAAGGAGGAAAAAAACCCCUUCUACUUUCCCCAGAAGCAUCAAACUCUUGCUGGUGAUGAAGUGGGGAUGUAGACGACUUGCUGGCACCCUUUCCUAUUUCCUCUGUCUGAGAAAGACUGUCCCACAGCCUUAGCCAUCUUGAAGGAGACUGGAGAGUGAAUGCAACACCAGAGAAAUCAGAAAACUUCCACUCCAGCAAAGCUCCCUCAGCAAUCACCAGGGAAGAGGAGCACCACACGUCUGCACAGCAACUUGAGCCAACAGAAGAUGGGAAGUGGAACCAUGCAGCCAAGGGCAGAGAGAGGAAAAUCAUUAUUAUUUUCCAGUGCAUUGUAUAAGCUCAUCAAACUUUUACAUUUUUAAAGUAUCAUGCAUGCAUUCAAGUACAACUGUGAACAUUUAUAUCUACUAUGUGGAAAUUUUUAAUUCUUUAACAAAUAUAACUUGUAUAUUUACGAAUAUUAUAUCUAACAUUUCUGUCUCCUGUCAGUAGUUUAUCUGAUUAAUCAGAUAGACUGGAAAAACUUAAAAUUUCAGUGGAAGAAAUUAUGUCAAUCUAAAAUCAAAUAUAUCAGAAAACAAUAAUGACCAGUUACCAUAUGUAAGUGCUGCAGCCAGGGCUUUUUUAUGUUCACUUGAAUUAUGGUAACUUGGUGUGAAUGUGAAUCCAAUGUGUCUCAUAACCAAAGGCAAAUACUGUUUCUCAAAUAACCAAUAGAAACUAUAUAUGCAGUGUGAAAAAGAUUGCACUGCUGGUUCUGACUCUCAGUUUCUCUUCCCUAAAAUCUGUUACUGGCUCCAAAGACACAAAUCCUUAGCUCCCAAUGCACCCCUCAACACCUGCCAUAAAGCCCUGUAGCACAUCAGCCUUUCAACUUCACGUGCUCCACAUCAACUCUGUUGAGCACAUCAUCAGUGGCACUUGGUGGGAUCACAGAUUUUGUACUGCCUGAUGACAGAUCUGGAUUUAAGUUCUUAUCUCUACAUCUGAUGUGCUGCCAUGGUUCAGGGCUUUGCCAAAACAAAAAAAAUUACUAUCUAUAACCCCUAAUUACAUGCAGACAUAAAA
RNAcentral lists this long non-coding RNA (1349 nucleotides) under Cyanistes caeruleus (blue tit). RNAcentral describes it as "lncRNA (ENSCCEG00000010799.1)". Lineage: Eukaryota; Metazoa; Chordata; Aves; Passeriformes; Paridae. The record is from RNAcentral.